CAUGUAGGCGGAUUAAUAAGUUUGAAGUGAAAUCCUAUAGCUUAACUAUAGAACUGCUUUGAAAACUGUUAAUCUAGAAUGUGGGAGAGGUAGAUGGAAUUUCUGGUGUAGGGGUAAAAUCCGUAGAGAUCAGAAGGAAUACCGAUUGCGAAGGCGAUCUACUGGAACAUUAUUGACGCUGAGACGCGAAAGCGUGGGAGCAAACA
RNAcentral lists this ribosomal RNA (206 nucleotides) under uncultured bacterium. RNAcentral describes it as "partial 16S ribosomal RNA". It matches the Rfam family "Bacterial small subunit ribosomal RNA", at positions 568 to 774 of the family's 1533-position model. The record is from RNAcentral.